Molecule: ribosomal RNA, 460 nt
Filed under: uncultured bacterium
Lineage: Bacteria
Description: partial 16S ribosomal RNA
Rfam family: Bacterial small subunit ribosomal RNA
Source: RNAcentral
CCUACGGGUGGCAGCAGUGAGGAAUAUUGGUCAAUGGGCGAGAGCCUGAACCAGCCAAGUCGCGUGAAGGAUGACGGCCCUACGGGUUGUAAACUUCUUUUGUCAGGGAGCAAUUGGGUCCACGCUUGGGCUUAGCGAGAGUACCUGAAGAAAAAGCAUCGGCUAACUCCGCGCCAGCAGCCGCGGUAAUACGGAGGAUGCGAGCGUUAUCCGGAUUUAUUGGGUUUAAAGGGUGCGUAGGCGGAAUAUCAAGUCAGCGGUAAAAAUUCGGGGCUCAACCCCGGCGAGCCGUUGAAACUGGUGUUCUUGAGUGUGCGAGAGGUAUGCGGAAUGCGUGGUGUAGCGGUGAAAUGCAUAGAUAUCACGCAGAACUCCGAUUGCGAAGGCAGUAUACCGGCGUACAACUGACGCUGAGGCACGAAAGCGUGGGUAUCGAACAGGAUUAGAUACCCUUGUAGUC